This 1797-nucleotide ribosomal RNA is filed under the name uncultured eukaryote. Its description in RNAcentral is "bacterial SSU rRNA". It matches the Rfam family "Eukaryotic small subunit ribosomal RNA", at positions 1 to 1267 of the family's 1831-position model. The record is from RNAcentral.
AACCUGGUUGAUCCUGCCAGUAGUCAUAUGCUUGUCUCAAAGAUUAAGCCAUGCAUGUCUAAGUAUAAACAAGUUUAUACUGUGAAACUGCGAAUGGCUCAUUAAAUCAGUUAUAGUUUAUUUGAUAGUAGAUUACUACUUGGAUAACCGUAGUAAUUCUAGAGCUAAUACAUGCGAAAAGACCCGACUUUUGCGGAAGGGUUGCAUUUAUUAGAUACAAAACCAAUGCGAGGGGGGGCAACUCCCCUCGGUGCAUGGUGAUUCAUAAUAACUUUUGCGGAUCGCAUGGCCUUUGCGCCGGCGACGAAUCAUUCAAAUUUCUGCCCUAUCAACUUUCGAUGGUAAGGUAUUGGCCUACCAUGGUUACCACGGGUAACGGGGAAUUAGGGUUCGGUUCCGGAGAGGGAGCCUGAGAAAUGGCUACCACAUCCAAGGAAGGCAGCAGGCGCGCAAAUUACCCAAUCCUGACACAGGGAGGUAGUGACAAUAAAUAACAAUGCAGGGCCCUCUGGGCUUUGUAAUUGGAAUGAGUACAAUUUAAAUCUCUUAACGAGUACCAAUUGGAGGGCAAGUCUGGUGGAUUGUCAACAUGUUUCGACGCACUCCAGAAGGAGACAAAGGAAGGGGAGUGCGCGACAAAGACAAAAAAAAAGCGAGUGUGAAGCACUGCUGACGCCAGAGAUAGUUGGGCCGCAUCCCGAGUGAGGGCAUGCAUGCGGCUAGGCCAGCUAGUUGACUGUCCAUUCUUUGCAGGGGGACAGCAACGAGACAACCUGGAACGAGGAAGGCAAAGUAAGACAAGAGAAAAAAGGAAACAAAAGUCUUUUGCUAAUCUCGUGGUGAGUCGCCUGCGUACAGUGUAGCAGAGUCGGCCAUCGUAACGCGCGGAAAGGUGUCGGCGAUGCACCGGAGAGUGGUCGCUUGAGGAACGUGCUAAUCCCCGAGGAAACUCGGUCUUGUGCUGGAGCACCUGCAAUGCAAAGGUACAAGAGACCCGUGUAAAGGUGAGGGAGGAAAUGCCCUCGGCCAAUGGGGUCGGUAGAAUCAAUGGCCAGCAGCCGCGGUAAUUCCAGCUCCAAUAGCGUAUAUUAAAGUUGUUGCAGUUAAAAAGCUCGUAGUUGAAUUUCGGGGCUCCUUAUGUAAUAGCCGCGCGGUCGAAACCCAGCCGGGGGGGUAACACCUUCUGGUGAUGGGGCGUACUGCGGGCGGGGCCCAGUAUCCAAUUUUUUCUCGAAGCCGACCCGUGCCCUUCACUGGGUUGCGGGGCUCUCGGACUCGAGACAUUUACUUUGAAAAAAUUAGAGUGUUCAAAGCAGGCAGCUUCGCUUGAAUACAUUAGCAUGGAAUAAUGGAAUAGGACUUUGGUCUUAUUUUGUUGGUUUCUAGGACCGAAGUAAUGAUUAAUAGGGACAGUUGGGGGCAUUCGUAUUUAAUUGUCAGAGGUGAAAUUCUUGGAUUUAUGAAAGACGAACUUCUGCGAAAGCAUUUGCCAAGGAUGUUUUCAUUAAUCAAGAACGAAAGUUAGGGGAUCGAAGACGAUUAGAUACCGUCGUAGUCCUAACCAUAAACUAUGCCGACUCGGGAUCGGCGGGGGAUUAUCAAAGACCCCGUCGGCACCGUACGAGAAAUCAAAGUUUUUGGGUUCUGGGGGGUGUAUGGUCGCAAGGCUGAAACUUAAAGGAAUUGACGGAACGGCACACCAGGAUUGGAGCCUGCGGCUUAAUUUGACUCAACACGGGGAAACUCACCUGGUCCAGACAUCGUAAGGAUUGACAGAUUGAGAGCUCUUUCUUGAUU